CUUGUUGGUUAAAUUACUGAGGCGAUCAGGUCGUGUGAUUGCUACAGCGCGGCUGUUUUUCUUUCCUUUGCUCCAGCCGUGGUGAGGAGACGCGUGAGUGCAUCCGCCGUGCAGUACAGCGCCUCCAAGUUCUGGGGGUUUGAUUGCUGCCGUGCCCUCUCGGGGACCAACCGCCUGCUUUGG
Oreochromis aureus is the source of this 183-nucleotide long non-coding RNA. RefSeq lists it as uncharacterized. The record is from RefSeq and is a predicted model, not a curated record. The transcript has 3 exons. Lineage: Eukaryota; Metazoa; Chordata; Actinopteri; Cichliformes; Cichlidae.